UAAAGGUAAGACAUUGCUAUUUGAGGUCACUACUAAACACUUUAGCUCAAUUUCUAUAUCCACAGUAUACGUCCUACCUAGCUGGGGAACAUUAUUUCAGAUACUGCCUGGAUGAGACUGCAGUGGAGAGCUGUUGGCAGGUGAGAGAGUGAGGGAUGGAAGGAUUCAAAGCAUGGACAAGGGGAGACUUAUCGGAGACUGUAG
Pelobates cultripes (western spadefoot toad) is the source of this 204-nucleotide non-coding RNA. NCBI's taxonomy places the organism in Eukaryota, Metazoa, Chordata, Amphibia, Anura, Pelobatidae. The record is from the annotation of a GenBank genome assembly.